CGCUGCGCCCACACCCUGGGACCUCCCCGAAGUCCCGCAUCGGACCCCAGGGCAGUCCCAGGAGAGUUGGGGGCGCUCGCCCCUUUCGUGGACAGGAAAUUGAGGCAGGCGAGUGAAGGCCCUACAUCCUCAUGAGACUUAAACUGCCUUCCUUCUAGGACCGACUCAGGUGAGAAAAGGGAGGCACAGAGAGGCUAAAUAACAGGCCUGAGCUCACACAGAGGUGGAGGAGCUGAGCUGUGGACCCAGGCAGGCCAUCUCUGCAGCCUCCGCUCUUGACCACCAUGGGCUCCUCCUCUGGGCUAACCCAGCCCUUGCCAGGAUCCUACAUGGAAAGUAUUAUCAUACCAUUGAACAAAAGAGGAUAUGGAGGCAUGGAGGGCAGAGGGGCCCCAGGAUGGCAGAAUUAGUAACUGGGGUGAGAGGGAGCUGGGAUUAGACCCAGGUCUGAAAGCCAGGCCUUCCCCUCACCCUUCCUGUUUACCAAACACCUGGGCCCCAUCCUGCCCAAGGUCAGGAUGUGCUUCUGCCUGGUGCUGGCCUUGGGGAGCACCUGUUUUUUCCUGGAGGAAGGAGCAGGUGUGGACUUCUUUUUGAAACUGACCCUGACUGGGUUGGAGCCAGGACCGCUGCCCUCUGUCAAUCCUGCAUCGAGGCCAGGAGGACUUAAGUAGGAUUAGGUCAGACCUAGGCUUGCAUGGAGGGGCUUGGAGGUCAGCCCCAUUUUUGUAAGCCUCUCGCCCUCUGGACUCCAUAAUUCCUGCUAAUUGCACUCCUUGGAUGGGGCAGUGACAUGGAAGUACCUCCCAGCUCAGUCUUGGGGAGACCUCUCCAAGGACAAUGAGGGAAGCUGGGGGGAUGUCCCUACCCUCCUUUCUGGAGCAGAGCCCUGGGUUUACAGGGGUAAGACUCAAAGUGACUUCUCUGUCUGCCCCUCGUGCUAAUAAAAGUUUCCAUUCAAGAAAGAGCUGCCUGGGGAUGCCAAGUUAUCUGGAAUCUGUCAUUGUAGCAUCAAGGGGUGUUGGCAGCUGGGGAGGGGGGCUUGGGCCUUCCCACCCCCUUUGAGAGAUCAUUCUUGGAUGGGAUGUGGCUUCUAACUGGUGUCACCACCUGAAAGGCCAAUAUCCCAUCACCUAGAAUUUCCACGUUGGACUCGGGGAUUGGAGAGACCACCUUGACUCCUGCCAAGGCCCUUUGAGAGCUGCCCACCCCAUCCUUUAGUGCGCCUGCUCAGUAAACCCCAGGGUGGGGCCAGGGGUUGGGGAAAAGCGGGCCUCAGAAAGCCCUUGGAGGGGCAGGGAAGGGCUUGGAAGAAACGUGACUCAGAAUAUGGGGCCCUCCCCUCACAUCUUCCCAGACUUGAAGGGGCGUCUUACUUCUGAGCUCCCUGCAGCCCCAGCCUCCUGGCCAUCUCUCCUGGCUGCUGAAAUAAAGGCCGGGCCCUUUUGCCACCUUGUGAUGUGACCCUGCCUGUUGGUUGGGCCUCAUCUCUCACCCCUAGUUCUUUGCUUUCAUUGCCACACCAGCCCUUUUGACUGUUCUUGAGUUCAUCAUGAUUCUUUGUACCCCAGGGACCUUGCAUGAGCCAGUGUCUUGCUGCGCUUCCUCCCAUCUCACUUGGCUAAUGUGAGGCAUUUUCUUUACACACCUGGAAAAAAUAGAGCCUGGUGCCUUCCAAGACUGGGAUGGUUGGAGGAAACUUUUUGUGUUGUAGCCUGAGGGUAGGAAGAAGACACAAUUUAAAUAUAAGAAGGUGAGGUGGAGGCUAGGCGCGAUGGCUCACACCUGUAAUCCCAGUACUUUGGGAGGCUGAGGCGGGUGGAUCACUGGAGGUCAGGAGUUCAAGACCAGCCUGGCCAACAUGGUGAAACCUAUCUCUACUAAACAUACAAAUAUUAGCUGGGAGUAGUGGCAGGUGCCUGUAGUCGCAGCUCGUUGAGGGGCAGAGGCAGGAGAAUUGCUUGAACCCGGGAGUUGGAGGUUGCAGUGAGCCAGGAUUGCACCACUGCACUCCAGCCUGGGCACCAGAGUGAGAUUCUGUCAAAGAAGAAGAAGAAGAGCUAGAAAUAGGCUCAUGAGAGGUUUCUCUUCUGGAAUAAAGUGUUUGCCUUUUUAGAGGCUCUAUCUUCCUCUCUUUCUACCAGAAACUAGACCUCUGAGGGCCCCUUCCCCUCCCGCUAUCCUCGGAUCUGAAGCCCUCGUUCCCCCUCACUUCCUGUCCAGCACUGAAACCCCAUGGGACAGAGAGUGUGUGACAGCUCAUGCAGGAAGCUGGUCAGAUGAGAAGAGUGCUGGGCUAAAGGGGCUAAUUUGGAAGGUAUCCAGAGACCUAUCAGGGAGCACCCUGAGCCCCAAGUAGAGAGGUUUGAAUUUCUUCCUCCAGGCACUGUGGAGCUUGGAGGGUUUGGGGGCAGCUGCCUUGGAAGGGCUGAAAGGAGGUGGAUGGCGCUGGUGAGACACAUCUCUUCCCCCUCCCUCUACCCCCCAGCCACAGAAGAAGGAUUCUCCAGCUCUUGGAU
Callithrix jacchus (white-tufted-ear marmoset) is the source of this 2519-nucleotide long non-coding RNA. RefSeq lists it as uncharacterized. Lineage: Eukaryota; Metazoa; Chordata; Mammalia; Primates; Cebidae. The record is from RefSeq and is a predicted model, not a curated record.